This 431-nucleotide ribosomal RNA is filed under the name uncultured Acinetobacter sp. Its description in RNAcentral is "bacterial SSU rRNA". It matches the Rfam family "Bacterial small subunit ribosomal RNA", at positions 355 to 774 of the family's 1533-position model. Lineage: Bacteria; Pseudomonadati; Pseudomonadota; Gammaproteobacteria; Moraxellales; Moraxellaceae. The record is from RNAcentral.
UGGGGAAUAUUGGACAAUGGGGGGAACCCGUGAUCCAGCCAUGCCGCGUGUGUGAAGAAGGCCUUAUGGUUGUAAAGCACUUUAAGCGAGGAGGAGGCUCUUUUGGUUAAUACCCAAGAUGAGUGGACGUUACUCGCAGAAUAAGCACCGGCUAACUCUGUGCCAGCAGCCGCGGUAAUACAGAGGGUGCGAGCGUUAAUCGGAUUUACUGGGCGUAAAGCGUGCGUAGGCGGCUUUUUAAGUCGGAUGUGAAAUCCCCGAGCUUAACUUGGGAAUUGCAUUCGAUACUGGGAAGCUAGAGUAUGGGAGAGGAUGGUAGAAUUCCAGGUGUAGCGGUGAAAUGCGUAGAGAUCUUGGAGGAAUACCGAUGGCGAAGGCAGCCAUCUGGCCUAAUACUGACGCUGAGGUACGAAAGCAUGGGGGAGCAAACA